UACCAUGCAAGUCGAGCGGUAGAGAGAAGCUUGCUUCUCUUGAGAGCGGCGGACGGGUGAGUAAUGCCUAGGAAUCUGCCUGGUAGUGGGGGAUAACGCUCGGAAACGGACGCUAAUACCGCAUACGUCCUACGGGAGAAAGCAGGGGACCUUCGGGCCUUGCGCUAUCAGAUGAGCCUAGGUCGGAUUAGCUAGUUGGUGAGGUAAUGGCUCACCAAGGCGACGAUCCGUAACUGGUCUGAGAGGAUGAUCAGUCACACUGGAACUGAGACACGGUCCAGACUCCUACGGGAGGCAGCAGUGGGGAAUAUUGGACAAUGGGCGAAAGCCUGAUCCAGCCAUGCCGCGUGUGUGAAGAAGGUCUUCGGAUUGUAAAGCACUUUAAGUUGGGAGGAAGGGCAUUAACCUAAUACGUUGGUGUCUUGACGUUACCGACAGAAUAAGCACCGGCUAACUCUGUGCCAGCAGCCGCGGUAAUACAGAGGGUGCAAGCGUUAAUCGGAAUUACUGGGCGUAAAGCGCGCGUAGGUGGUUUGUUAAGUUGGAUGUGAAAUCCCCGGGCUCAACCUGGGAACUGCAUUCAAAACUGACAAGCUAGAGUAUGGUAGAGGGUGGUGGAAUUUCCUGUGUAGCGGUGAAAUGCGUAGAUAUAGGAAGGAACACCAGUGGCGAAGGCGACCACCUGGACUGAUACUGACACUGAGGUGCGAAAGCGUGGGGAGCAAACAAGAUUAGAUACCCUGGUAGUCCACGCCGUAAACGAUGUCAACUAGCCGUUGGGAGCCUUGAGCUCUUAGUGGCGCAGCUAACGCAUUAAGUUGACCGCCUGGGGAGUACGGCCGC
RNAcentral lists this ribosomal RNA (843 nucleotides) under Pseudomonas sp. 01xTSA12A_H09. RNAcentral describes it as "bacterial SSU rRNA". It matches the Rfam family "Bacterial small subunit ribosomal RNA", at positions 52 to 889 of the family's 1533-position model. Lineage: Bacteria; Pseudomonadati; Pseudomonadota; Gammaproteobacteria; Pseudomonadales; Pseudomonadaceae. The record is from RNAcentral.